This 118-nucleotide non-coding RNA is filed under the name Xylanimonas cellulosilytica. RNAcentral's name for it is "SAM-IV sequence". It matches the Rfam family "SAM (S-adenosyl methionine) riboswitch aptamer". Rfam says of the family: SAM-IV is a mRNA element that regulates gene expression via direct sensing of S-adenosylmethionine (SAM or AdoMet). SAM-IV riboswitches share conserved nucleotide positions with the previously described SAM-I riboswitches sequence analysis and molecular recognition experiments suggest that SAM-I and SAM-IV riboswitches share similar ligand binding sites, but have different scaffolds. Lineage: Bacteria; Bacillati; Actinomycetota; Actinomycetes; Micrococcales; Promicromonosporaceae. RNAcentral also lists the same sequence under 1 other name. The record is from RNAcentral.
GGUCAAGAGUGAUCAGCGAUACGCCCUCCGCGUGCUGGUCCGGCAACCGCGCACUCUCGCGCACGGUGCCUCGGGGGAAGACCGGCCCGUCGGCGACCGCCGUCGGGAAGUGCGAAGG